GCAUGGUAACGGAUUUAUGCCGGGCCCUUCUCUGUGGGCCUCUCAUAGUGGACCCAUGCCAGAGUAACCUGCAGCCUCGAACCAUUGCCCAGCCCCUUACCUGUGGGUUGCGAGCACUGAAGGGGGUUGUACAGUG
Molecule: small nucleolar RNA, 136 nt
Filed under: Pteropus vampyrus (large flying fox)
Lineage: Eukaryota; Metazoa; Chordata; Mammalia; Chiroptera; Pteropodidae
Description: Small nucleolar RNA SNORA42/SNORA80 family (ENSPVAG00000027400.1)
Rfam family: Small nucleolar RNA SNORA42/SNORA80 family
About the family: The members of this family belong to the H/ACA class of snoRNAs that guide the sites of modification of uridines to pseudouridines. Human ACA42 (SNORA42) was cloned from HeLa cells by immunoprecipitation with anti-GAR1 antibody.
Source: Rfam by way of RNAcentral